GCGGGGGUCGUUUAGCUGGAUAGGGCGCCACCCAGAGAGGGUGGAGACGCUGGUUCAAAGCCAGCCCCCGGCCCC
Molecule: transfer RNA, 75 nt
Filed under: compost metagenome
Description: tRNA-Leu
Source: RNAcentral